AUUGAACGCUGGCGGCAUGCCUUACACAUGCAAGUCGAACGGCAGCACGGGAGCUUGCUCCUGGUGGCGAGUGGCGAACGGGUGAGUAAUACAUCGGAACGUACCCUGAAGUGGGGGAUAACGUAGCGAAAGUUACGCUAAUACCGCAUAUUCUGUGAGCAGGAAAGAGGGGGAUCGCAAGACCUCUUGCUUUAGGAGCGGCCGAUGUCGGAUUAGCUAGUUGGUGAGGUAAAGGCUCACCAAGGCGACGAUCCGUAGCGGGUCUGAGAGGAUGAUCCGCCUCACUGGGACUGAGACACGGCCCAGACUCCUACGGGAGGCAGCAGUGGGGAAUUUUGGACAAUGGGCGCAAGCCUGAUCCAGCCAUGCCGCGUGAGUGAAGAA
RNAcentral lists this ribosomal RNA (384 nucleotides) under uncultured bacterium. RNAcentral describes it as "bacterial SSU rRNA". It matches the Rfam family "Bacterial small subunit ribosomal RNA", at positions 30 to 412 of the family's 1533-position model. The record is from RNAcentral.